CCGUUGCCUAGGAGCUGCAGGGCCGUGCCAGUGGGAGCUGGGGAGUCUCCAACCCUAAGGGAGCCAGUGGAGAGAGCGGAGUGCUGGGGCUGAGGUGCUCUCAGCAAGCUGCACUGCUGAGCAGGAUGAGCUGCUGUGUUCUGAACCAAUAGCUGAGUUUUUAAGAUGCACCAGGUCUCCCUCUAACUGACGAAGAUUCCUGUCUGUGAGAAUGAUCUUUAAAUGCCUUCAGUUCAAGGACUCCGUAGACUGUCUCUUUCAACUAAUAUGAGUUUGCCACCAAACCGAAAAAAUGGUUAUUUGCACAGCUCUAGUGACAGACUGGAGACAGAAUUUCUGUGUUCCCAUUGACACCUCCUGGAAUGAAACAGUUAAGUUACCACUGCUCUGAAAACCCUGGGUAACAGACCAAGUGCUCACCUGUACCUUUGCAACAGCGUUUGAAGACUGCUUUGAAAGUGUUUCUACCAAUGAAGCAAAACUUCAGGGUCAAGCCUCACCUGGUCAUUCUCUAUCUAAUGAAGACACCGCUCAGGAGGCUCUAAACUAAUGGCUCAGGAAAAUAACCCCCCAAAGCUGCCCUCUUGGCCGACACACCAGGGAUGAAUCGGGGACAUCCAGAACUGGAAGCAUGAGCAGCUGUAGCUCGAGAUAAAGAACCAAGGCUCUGUUGCUGAGGGCUGUAACAACUCAUGGCCUCUGUGGAUUGGCACAGAGAACUCAAUACACUUCCUUCAUGAACAUGG
This is a long non-coding RNA of Mauremys reevesii (Reeves's turtle), 746 nucleotides long. RefSeq lists it as uncharacterized. The transcript has 6 exons. NCBI's taxonomy places the organism in Eukaryota, Metazoa, Chordata, Testudines, Geoemydidae. The record is from RefSeq and is a predicted model, not a curated record.